RNAcentral lists this ribosomal RNA (422 nucleotides) under uncultured archaeon. RNAcentral describes it as "partial 16S ribosomal RNA". It matches the Rfam family "Archaeal small subunit ribosomal RNA", at positions 323 to 746 of the family's 1478-position model. The record is from RNAcentral.
CUACGGGGUGCACCAGUUAAGAAUAAUCUACAAUGUACGCAAGUAUGAUAGUUUGAGCCAGAGUGCGUUUCAAUUUGAAACGCUUUUGUGAAAUGUGAAAAGUUUCACGAAUAAGGACUGGGUAAGACUAGUGCCAGCCGCCGCGGUAAUACUAGCGGUCCAAGUCGCAGCCAUUUUUAUUGGGUCUAAAACAUCCGUAGCUUGUUUUGUAAGUUUCUUGUGAAAUUUCAUGUCUUAAGUAUGAAGCGUGCAAGAAGUACUGCAAAGCUAGAGACUGGAAGACGUAAGAAGUACAUUCAGAGUAACGGUUAAAUGUGUUAAUCCUGAGUGGACUACCAAGAGCGAAGGCAUCUUACGAGGACAGUUCUGACAGUAAGGGAUGAAGGCUAGGGGCGCAAAUGGGAUUAGAUACCCGCGUAGUC